AGUGUGAACUGUAGCACGUCCUGGUUCGUGAAAUUGAUGGAACGUUCUGAUUGGCUCGCGCAAAACACUCGGAAUUCGAAUUUGGCAAACCAAACGGAUACGCAAAAAAAGCAGUGAGGAACUUUUAAGUGACCAUUGCCAGGCAGAGUGAUGCCACCGACAGGGAGGGGAAUGGACAACAAAGGCCCCAAAAAAAUGGCACAAGAGGUGCAAAUAGAGAGGUCAACAUGCUAUUUUCCAAAUACUCUGAAGUGUUGAGUGAGAGGGCUGCAAUAGAUGCUUCACAAGUUAGGGAG
Oncorhynchus nerka (sockeye salmon) is the source of this 296-nucleotide long non-coding RNA. RefSeq lists it as uncharacterized. The transcript is spliced from 4 exons. The record is from RefSeq and is a predicted model, not a curated record. NCBI's taxonomy places the organism in Eukaryota, Metazoa, Chordata, Actinopteri, Salmoniformes, Salmonidae.